UACGUAGGGGGCAAGCGUUGUCCGGAAUCAUUGGGCGUAAAGCGCGUGUAGGCGGCCAGAAAAGUCCGCUGUGAAAACUCGAGGCUCAACUUCGAGCUGUCGGUGGAAACUUUCUGGCUAGAGUCCGGAAGAGGCGAGUGGAAUUCCCGGUGUAGCGGUGAAAUGCGCAGAUAUCGGGAGGAACACCUAUGGCGAAGGCAGCUCGCUGGGACGUUACUGACGCUGAGACGCGAAAGCGUGGGGAGCAAACAGG
This 253-nucleotide ribosomal RNA is filed under the name uncultured bacterium. Its description in RNAcentral is "partial 16S ribosomal RNA". It matches the Rfam family "Bacterial small subunit ribosomal RNA", at positions 524 to 776 of the family's 1533-position model. The record is from RNAcentral.